Puntigrus tetrazona (Sumatra barb) is the source of this 442-nucleotide long non-coding RNA. RefSeq lists it as uncharacterized. The transcript has 3 exons. NCBI's taxonomy places the organism in Eukaryota, Metazoa, Chordata, Actinopteri, Cypriniformes, Cyprinidae. The record is from RefSeq and is a predicted model, not a curated record.
UUUAACCGCUGUCAGUGCAAAUGGCCCUUUAGAUAAGAGAAAGACAAGAGAGGGCCUCCGGAGAGCUCCACUGCCUUGCAGGAUCCUACUCCGUCCUAGCUUUUAUUAGUCUUGGAACGGACGACCUGUUGCAUAUUCUGAAGGGUGCUUUUAACCUCCCGCCCGUGAGGUCAUGAUCGGUCUCCAGAGCGACUUCUUUUGGAAGAAAGGAUCAGAUCAAUUAACCACAGGCGGAUGAUCUGCCCGGCACACACCACAGGCGUUGUGUUUUCAGGAAGACGUGUCAAGCUAAAGGCGCUGUGUUUGGACUCCAUUCUGACGGCACCCAUUCACUGCAGAAGACCCAUUGGUGAACGACUAAAUCUCUCUCAAAACCCGAUGUGAUGAAGAAACAAACUAGAUUCUAGAUUUUUGAUGGCCUGAUGGUGAGUACAUUUUCAGC